This 664-nucleotide long non-coding RNA is filed under the name Homo sapiens (human). Its description in RNAcentral is "HSALNT0351124". Lineage: Eukaryota; Metazoa; Chordata; Mammalia; Primates; Hominidae. The record is from RNAcentral.
GGUCAUAUUUCUCUGCUUCUUUGCACGCCUGAUAAUUUUUAACUUGAUAUCUACAUUGUGAAUUUCACCUUGUUUUUAUAGAUACCCGGUCUUGCUAUCUUUCCCAAGCUGUUCUUGAUCUCCUGGCUUCAAGUGAUCCUUGACCUCCCAAAGUGCUGGGAGGAUAGACAUGAGCCACUGUGCCUGACCCAAGUGGAAUAAACUCUAAUGUUAAGUGGGGGAAGUCAAGAUGGCUAACCAGGCACAGCCAGGUGGAUCAUUUCUUACCAAAAGGAUGAGACUUCAGGAAGACUGGCACAUUCUGAGCAGAUCUUUGUGGGGAAGGCAUUGAGAGUGGACAGAGCUUCAGGCACGUCUCAGCAUGCCUCCCUCUCAUGGAAGUUCCCAGGAAGCCCACCAUGUACGUGUCUGUACGUGUCUGUAGAAGAGGAGGAAAUUUUUUUCCGGGAGCCGGCUGAUUACACAAAGAACAAAGUUCUGCAAUUGUAACCCUCAAGAGAAGAGGAGGAAGAGACAAGUAUUUGGUGCUCUAAAACAAAACAAAACAAAACAAAAAACUUCCAACAUAGACAAACUCAGGAUCAGAUAGCUUCACCAGUAAGUCAUAUCAAACAUUUAAAGAAUUAACACCACUCUUCUCAAACUCUUUCAAAAGAAAUGGAAA